UGCUACAAAGUUUGGCUUUCAUUUUUUAUUUAUUUAUUAUUAUUUUCAUUAUUGAGUUCAAGCAUGUGUUGUUGAUGAAUUUCACUUAUCUUUCUUCAUUUUUUUAGUUUUAUUUAUUAAUCUAACAUUGUGGUAUGAAUUACUUUUGAAAAAUUUAGUCAAAUUUGUUAAGUUGAUCCUAAUCCUACUGGAUGAAUCAGUAUUGAAACUGAAGCUGGUGAUCUAUUCUACCAGUUUUUUUUUUCCUUGCAGGUUACAUACACUAGUAUCAUUCAUUGGAUUCUCAUCCUGAUGUUUUAUAGUCAUUAUAUUCUCCCCUUCUGCCAUCAAGUUCUUUGGAAGGGCUGAGUUUACAUUAGUGCAAUUAGCUGCUCAGAUUCGACCACACCUCAGAGGCACUACUUCUUACUCCUUGGUUGGAUCAUGGAAGUUUGCAUGAUGAAAUUGUUUCUGACAUCUCCUUGUAAAGAUUCAAUAAGUUAAAUUAAAGAUCAUUUUUUUUUUGUUUUUUUUUGUUUGUUGUUAUUGUUUUGGGUUAGUAAUCUGAUUUUUUGAAAAUUUAGUUACUAUUCUGAAAUCAUAGGAAAUGGUUACAAAAGGCUUCACUAUGAACUAGGUGCGUGUGCUCUAUGUGCUGACUUGAAAUCCAAACAAAUCUUAAGAAUUUACUUGGGGCUUUUGUAGGCAAUAGUUAAACCAAAUAUUGGAAUCCAACAUUUCAAUUUAUUUCUCCACUUUAAACUUCAGAUAUUUAAAAUCUAAAUUCUUUUUGGAUUUUUCUCAAAAUACAACUCUUUUUGGUUUUCCUUUGGGAUCUUUGUAUGUUUACUUAGAUUGGAUAUUCAAAGGCAACACAAACUUUUUCUAAAAAAUUGAAAGAGUUAACCCAAUCAAAUACAUUUUUAAGUAUGCAAAAGGAAUGAUGCAACUUUUAGCAACUUUUUUUAUUUUUAUUUUUAGUGUGAUGAGAUCAAUUAUUUAUGUGAUGAGAUCAACUCUUAGUUAGAUGAUAUAUAACUGAUUUUUUAUGUGAUGAGGUAAAUUUUGUAAGCACGUUUUGCUUCUCAAAUAACUUUUUACCAUCCAACCCCAAAAUGGAAACACAAAUCAAAUCUGAAUAAACAUCAUGCUGUAUGUACAUUUUGGAGUGCAUGAAUAACCGUAUUUUUAGUUGAAAAGGUAAUUGAUGGCGUCUUUGUUUACUUCAACAUUCUCAGGCUUGCAAAAAAAUGUCUAAGAACCUUGCUUAGAUGCAGACUAUACAAGAACAGGUUUGCUUACAUAAUAGCCAUCUCCUUGUGCUUGCAUGGGUUUGUCUUAGAGACUUACUUAGAAUUUUUGCUUUGUUUGGCAAGUCCAUGAUAUUAAAUUUGUGUUACAAAAUAUGGGGGGGUUUUCUUUUAUGCCCUAAAAUCUAACCUUCUUUUAACAAUAUUAUUUAUUAUAUGUUUAUAUCCAUAUGAGAAAUUCCUGGAAGCUUUGUUUUUAUUUGAUCCAACAUUCUUUACAUGGGAUAGACUGGAAUGUUCAUUUUAUUUAAUCAGGUUUACCUCCAGAGGUUAUCCUUGCACUAACUCUUUGUGAUGACCUAUUUCAACCAGGCAUGCAAGUAAUUGCUUCUACCAAGAUGGGUUAAUCUAAAGUUGCAUUGGCACCUUUAAUAGGUGAAUUCUACCAAAGCGAUCGAAAAAUUUGUUAAGGUUCUAAAAGUUAAGCAGAGUGAUGAAGAAAUGAUAGAUAAGUCGCUUGAGGCUAAGCUUGUUGAACGGCAAGGAAAAGGCACUUUCUCUUUACUUGGAGAGUUCAUGUUCUUACAAUUUAUCCUAAACCUGAAAUUAGAAAAUGUUCAUCUCAAUGGAACAAUUGGAUGAAAUAAGAAAGCAGUUAGAAAAGGAAAGAGAUUUUGGGUUGAAUGAAUUUUGUUUGAUAUUGGAUUGAAUGUUUAUAAACAAAAACUGAUUGUUCUAAAAAAAAGAAAAGAAAAAAAAGAGAGAUUUGGCGA
Camellia sinensis is the source of this 2002-nucleotide non-coding RNA. The record is from RefSeq and is a predicted model, not a curated record. Lineage: Eukaryota; Viridiplantae; Streptophyta; Magnoliopsida; Ericales; Theaceae.